CCACACGACUCUCGGCAACGGAUAUCUCGGCUCUCGCAUCGAUGAAGAACGUAGCGAAAUGCGAUACYUGGUGUGAAUUGCAGAAUCCCGCGAACCAUCGAGUCUUUGAACGCAAGUUGCGCCCGAGGCCACCCGGCUAAGGGCACGCCUGCCUGGGCGUCACGC
Molecule: ribosomal RNA, 165 nt
Filed under: Eriocoma robusta
Lineage: Eukaryota; Viridiplantae; Streptophyta; Magnoliopsida; Poales; Poaceae
Also listed under: 4 other names
Description: Achnatherum robustum 5.8S ribosomal RNA
Rfam family: 5.8S ribosomal RNA
About the family: 5.8S ribosomal RNA (5.8S rRNA) is a component of the large subunit of the eukaryotic ribosome. It is transcribed by RNA polymerase I as part of the 45S precursor that also contains 18S and 28S rRNA.
Source: RNAcentral